RNAcentral lists this transfer RNA (59 nucleotides) under Pseudogarypus banksi. Its description in RNAcentral is "tRNA-Ala". The record is from RNAcentral. Lineage: Eukaryota; Metazoa; Arthropoda; Arachnida; Pseudoscorpiones; Pseudogarypidae.
UAAAGGAUAAAUAAAAUAUUUUUGCAUAAUAUGAGUUUUAUCUACUACAAAUUUCUUAU